GACGAACGCUGGCGGCGUGCUUAACACAUGCAAGUCGAACGGUAAACGAGGGAGCUUGCGCCCUCCGGGACAGCGGCGAACGGGUGAGUAACACGUGAACAAUCUGCUCCGCAUUCGGGGAUAAGCGGGGGAAACGACGUCUUAUACCGUAUAAGACGCGGGAGGGCAGCCUGUCCGCGAGGAAAGAACUUCGGUUGGGGAUGGGCUCGCGGCCUAUCAGCUUGUUGGUGGGGUAGCGGCUCACCAAGGCGACGACGGGUAGCCGGCCUGAGAGGGUGACCGGCCACACUGGGACUGAGAUACGGCCCAGACUCCUACGGGAGGCAGCAGUGGGGAAUAUUGCACAAUGGGCGCAAGCCUGAUGCAGCAACGCCGCGUGAGGGACGACGGCCUUCGGGUUGUAAACCGCUUUUAGCAGGGAAGAAGCGAAAGUGACGGUACCUGCAGAAGAAGCACCGGCUAACUACGUG
This 470-nucleotide ribosomal RNA is filed under the name uncultured bacterium. Its description in RNAcentral is "partial 16S ribosomal RNA". It matches the Rfam family "Bacterial small subunit ribosomal RNA", at positions 28 to 507 of the family's 1533-position model. The record is from RNAcentral.